CUGAGUAUCCUGAAGCCCUCAGUACUAAAAUUAUCACCCUCAAUGCCUUCUGUUGCUCAGCCCUUCUCUGAGGGCAUCCCAGCCCAUUUGUUGCCUCCUAGGAAGCUUAUUUGUCUCUCUACUUUGGGCAAAAACUUCUGCUCUCAGUGAAGCCUCACUCCAGCUCUCAGGUUUCUUCAAAAAGGCAUUGGUAAGGGAAAACCAAACAAAUCAGCAGUGGCCCAGUUCACCUCCAGAAGAACCCCACCUGGCUGCUUCUCCCUGCACCGUGAUCCACAUUAAAAACUCGUGUAAUUGUAGAAUCAAGUCAUUCUUUAUUCCACGCAGGCAGUGCGCCUGAGUCACGCGGCCAUGCCUGUCACAAGCGGCAGAGCCGGGAUGGGAUGCAGAGGCACAAACAAUCCCUCUGUACUGUAUGAUAAUCAACAAAAAUUAGCUGCCUAAGGGAACCAGGAAACUCUGCCAUGAAUGCAGCAGUUAGAGACUGAGCCUAUUUAUUUAACAGGUGUCCCCUGAGCUGGGAUGCCAGACUCUGUUUGCCAAAUUUGCGGAGAGAGGAAGACAGCUUGAAUAAAUACGGGCAAGAGGAGAACAGUCCUCAAGCCAUUUUCUUUGGGAUUGUUGUGUUGUUCCGGCUUUUUUUUUUUUUUUUUCCCCAGCAACUUUUUAUUGUAAGAAAGUCUAUCCUAGCCCUUGGCUGGGAGUAUUUAGACAGCAGGAGUUGUGCCAAAAUCCAGUUUCCCUCCUUGUUAUGGUGCAGAGUCCAGCUCAGCCACAAAGCAAAGUUAGCUCUGCUGGAUGGCUUCGUGAUUGGUUUGUUUGUUCAGUUUAAUUAAAAUACAGUAUGGGGUACAUUUUGGAUGAGAACCCAUCCCAGGCUGUCAGGGACCAAGAGCCAACAACAGCUGUGCUGAAAUGAUCUCCUUCCCCAUUCCUGUGCAGUGGAAACACGAGUUUCCGUGUCUGGUGCUGCAGCACCGAGAGGCCCUGGAUUGUAUCCGAUGUCACAGCACGAAACAUUCCACACAGAGCAUCUGGGUGCUCCUCAUUCAAUUUCUGGAGUGUUUUCACACAGUCUGGAGGAAAGGAAUAGAGAAGGACAUUGAGGAACUGCUUCAUGCCAGAAAGCCAAUGCAAGAGGAAUCAGCAGACUCAUGGAGAGGGGCCUGCAGCAGCCCUGCCUGGCAACAGAAGCUGAAGGCAGCGAGUAAACAAUCUGCUCAUCUGGCAAAAAAUGCACAGAGAACAUCCCAGACAACCACACCAAAAACUCUGCUUCCCAUGAUGGAGAUGUUGCAGGCAAUCAAUCUCAGUAUUUUGUAGUCCUGACCACUGGAAAAUCUCUCCUGAUAUCAGAGAAUCAUAAAUUGGAAAAUUGGAAAAGAUUUCUGAGUCCCACUUUUGACCCAUUCCCCACUUUGUCACCCAGCCCAGAGCUCUGAGUGCCAUGUCCAGUUGUUCCUUGGACACCUCCAGGGAUGGGAUGCCUCACUGGACAGCCCCUUCCAAUGCUUAUCAACCCUUUCCAUGAAGAAAUUCCUCCUUAUGUUCAACUUGAACAUCCUCUAGCACGAUUUGAGGCCAUUUCCUCUUGCUUAUUCUGGAAGCAGAGCCUGACCCCUUGUCCUGGCUGCCCCCUCCUGUCAGGGAGUUCUGCAGAGACAGAAGUUCCCUCCUGAACCUCCUUUUCUCCAGGCUGAGCCCCUUUCCCAGCUCCCUCCACUGCUCAAAAAAUCCAACACCCCCUUCCCCACAGCAGAUUAAACUUUUCCCCUGGAUUUUUCUCCCGUGAUUGAACAACCCUUCACAGAUUUGAACAGCACUGCUUCAGCCCUCUGAAGGAGAUAAUGAUUUUAAUAUUUCCCCACAGGUAGUUUUUCCCUGUUGGCCACUCUUUUGGUUCCCACUAGGUAUUCCUGAAGUAGGACAAAUCUUUCUGGAAAUGGAGUGCCCCACUUUACAUAAUCUCUUCCAAGUGAGGAGCUCCCAGGGGUGAGCAGAGCAUCUCUGGCAGGUUACACAGCCUAGAACUGUGCUCAUCUUUUUCAUGGCAGCCCAGUGUGUUGAUUUGGGGGCAGGCUGUGAUUCAUUACAGCCUCCAGAUGCGGGUUUAUUUCUUUUUAUUUUUUUCUGAGAGCUGAUGUCUGAUCAGUUGUUCCCAGCCCUGAAAUUAAUUAGGAAAUUACUGAAGUUAAACUUCCUGACUAAGGCCAUGCUGGAAUGAAACCGGGCUAUUGGGUGAGUGUAGGAACAUUUGUUUCCUUGCUAUAAAUUUUACCAUCAUGAUCAAAACCUGAAUCUUCCUUGCCCAGUCACUGAUAAC
Molecule: long non-coding RNA, 2323 nt
Organism: Cyanistes caeruleus (blue tit)
Lineage: Eukaryota; Metazoa; Chordata; Aves; Passeriformes; Paridae
Source: Ensembl